RNAcentral lists this small nuclear RNA (160 nucleotides) under Colobus angolensis palliatus. RNAcentral describes it as "U1 spliceosomal RNA (ENSCANG00000000454.1)". It matches the Rfam family "U1 spliceosomal RNA". From Rfam's summary of the family: U1 is a small nuclear RNA (snRNA) component of the spliceosome (involved in pre-mRNA splicing). Its 5' end forms complementary base pairs with the 5' splice junction, thus defining the 5' donor site of an intron. There are significant differences in sequence and secondary structure between metazoan and yeast U1 snRNAs, the latter being much longer (568 nucleotides as compared to 164 nucleotides in human). The record is from RNAcentral. Lineage: Eukaryota; Metazoa; Chordata; Mammalia; Primates; Cercopithecidae.
CUUGUCAUCCAGCUGUUAUGGUUAAUAAUGGAUAGUUUUCUCUGGGUGAGGCUUAUCCAUUGCACACCUGAUGUGCUGACCCCUGCGAUUUCCCCAAAUGUAGGAAAGUUGCCCGCAUGAUUUGUGGUAAUGGGGGACUGUGUGUUCCUGCUUUUCCCUG